AGUGAACGCUGGCGGUAGGCCUAACACAUGCAAGUCGAACGGCAGCACAGUAAGAGCUUGCUCUUACGGGUGGCGAGUGGCGGACGGGUGAGGAAUACAUCGGAAUCUACUUUUUCGUGGGGGAUAACGUAGGGAAACUUACGCUAAUACCGCAUACGACCUACGGGUGAAAGCAGGGGAUCUUCGGACCUUGCGCGAUUGAAUGAGCCGAUGUCGGAUUAGCUAGUUGGCGGGGUAAAGGCCCACCAAGGCGACGAUCCGUAGCUGGUCUGAGAGGAUGAACACCCCACUGGGAAAGGAGAAACGGUCCAAGCCCCUAGGGGAGGCAGAGGGGGGAAAAUUUGGACAAUGGGCGCAAGCCUGACCCAGCCAUGCCGGGGGGGUGAAGAAGGCCUUCGGGUUGUAAAGCCCUUUUGUUGGGAAAGAAAAGCAGCAGGUUAAUACCCCGCUGUUCUGACGGUACCCAAAAAAUAAACACCGGCUAACUUCGU
This 491-nucleotide ribosomal RNA is filed under the name uncultured bacterium. RNAcentral describes it as "partial 16S ribosomal RNA". It matches the Rfam family "Bacterial small subunit ribosomal RNA", at positions 29 to 506 of the family's 1533-position model. The record is from RNAcentral.